This 372-nucleotide ribosomal RNA is filed under the name uncultured prokaryote. RNAcentral describes it as "bacterial SSU rRNA". It matches the Rfam family "Bacterial small subunit ribosomal RNA", at positions 524 to 896 of the family's 1533-position model. The record is from RNAcentral.
UACGUAGGGUGCGAGCGUUAAUCGGAAUUACUGGGCGUAAAGCGUGCGCAGGCGGUUAUAUAAGACAGAUGUGAAAUCCCCCGGCUCAACCCGGGACCUGCAAUUGUGACUGUAUAGCUUGAGUACGGUAGAGGGGGGUGGAAUUCCGCGUGUAGCAGGGAAAUGCGUAGAUAUUCGGAGGAACACCGAUGGCGAAGGCAAUCCCCUGGACCUGUACUGACGCUCAUGCACGAAAGCGUGGGGAGCAAACAGGAUUAGAUCCCCUGGUAGUCCACGCCCUAAACGAUGUCAACUGGUUGUUGGGUCUUCACUGACUCAGUAACGAAGCUAACGCGUGAAGUUGACCGCCUGGGGAGUACGGCCGCAAGGUUG